This 770-nucleotide ribosomal RNA is filed under the name uncultured bacterium. RNAcentral's name for it is "bacterial SSU rRNA". It matches the Rfam family "Bacterial small subunit ribosomal RNA", at positions 1 to 771 of the family's 1533-position model. The record is from RNAcentral.
CCCUUAGAGUUUGAUCCUGGCUCAGGAUGAACGCUAGCGGCAGGCCUAAUACAUGCAAGUCGAACGAGAUUGUUGUAGCAAUAUGACAUGAAAGUGGCGCACGGGUGCGUAACACGUAUGCAAUCUACCUUUAAUUGGAGCAUAGCCUCGAGAAAUCGGGAUUAAUACUCCAUAACAUAAUUAAGUGGCAUCAUUUGAUUAUCAAACCUCCGGGGAUUAAAGAUGAGCAUGCGCAACAUUAGCUAGUUGGUAAGGUAAUGGCUUACCAAGGCUACGAUGUUUAGGGGGUCUGAGAGGAUGAUCCCCCACACUGGUACUGAGACACGGACCAGACUCCUACGGGAGGCAGCAGUAGGGAAUAUUGGGCAAUGGAGGAAACUCUGACCCAGCCAUGCCGCGUGCAGGAUGACGGCCCUCUGGGUUGUAAACUGCUUUUAUACGGGAAGAAAAAAUACUACGUGUAGUAUACUGACGGUACCGUAAGAAUAAGGAUCGGCUAACUCCGUGCCAGCAGCCGCGGUAAUACGGAGGAUCCAAGCGUUGUCCGGAUUUAUUGGGUUUAAAGGGUGCGUAGGCGGAUCUUUAAGUCAGUGGUGAAAGCCUGCAGCUUAACUGUAGAACAGCCAUUGAAACUGAAGAUCUUGAAUGUGGUUAAAGUAGGCGGAAUGUAUCAUGUAGCGGUGAAAUGCUUAGAUAUGAUACAGAACACCGAUAGCGAAGGCAGCUUGCUGAACCAUUAUUGACGCUGAGCACGAAAGCGUGGGGAGCGA